GAUGAACGCUGGCGGCGUGCUUAACACAUGCAAGUCGAACGAAGCAUUUAGGACAGAUUACUUCGGUUUGAAGUUCUUUAUGACUGAGUGGCGGACGGGUGAGUAACGCGUGGGUAACCUGCCUUGUACUGGGGGAUAGCAUCUGGAAACGGCUGGUAAUACCGCAUAAGCGCACAAUGUUGCAUGACAUGGUGUGAAAAACUCCGGUGGUAUAAGAUGGACCCGCGUCUGAUUAGCUAGUUGGUGAGAUAACAGCCCACCAAGGCGACGAUCAGUAGACGACAUGAGAGGGUGACCGGACACACUGGGACUGAGCCACGGCACAGAAUCCUACGGGAGGCAGGAGUGGGGAAUAUUGCAAAAUGGAGGAAAUUCUGAUGCAGCGACGACGCGUGAGUGAAGAAGUAAUUCGUUAUGUAAAGCUCUAUCAGCAGGGAAGAUAGUGACGGUACCUGACUAAGAAGCCCCGGCUAAAUACGUG
Molecule: ribosomal RNA, 481 nt
Filed under: uncultured bacterium
Lineage: Bacteria
Description: partial 16S ribosomal RNA
Rfam family: Bacterial small subunit ribosomal RNA
Source: RNAcentral